RNAcentral lists this transfer RNA (73 nucleotides) under Sirodotia delicatula. RNAcentral's name for it is "tRNA-Arg". It matches the Rfam family "tRNA". From Rfam's summary of the family: Transfer RNA (tRNA) molecules are approximately 80 nucleotides in length. Their secondary structure includes four short double-helical elements and three loops (D, anti-codon, and T loops). Lineage: Eukaryota; Rhodophyta; Florideophyceae; Batrachospermales; Batrachospermaceae. The record is from RNAcentral.
GCGUUUUUAGUUUAAUUGGAUAAAACAUUAAUCUUCUAAAUUAAGUAUGUAGGUUCGAGUCCUUCAAAAUGCG